CUAUCGUUCCCAGUCACUUCUUUAAUUGACACACUGAAAGAAGCCACAUCUUCCUGCCUGAUUCUGACCAGCUCUCUAAUUGAAUUCAGCUCAACAUCUCCGCUUCAGGCCCCCAGCAAUUAAUGAUGGAGAUCUUCUCGCCUUGGGAAUUUCCCCUUGCUCCCAUUCUUUUUGUUUAAUAGGAUCUAGUGAGAAAACCGGCAGCAGGAAAUCUCCCACCCGCCCAUCUCCUACCUUUCCCAGAGGUGCUUCGUGAAGAAAAGAGAGCCAUGUGAACUUCAGGGGUUGGAAAGGCGGUGACGUACGAGGCUCUGCGCGCAGGAGGCGGCGAGGGAGGCUGCUGGGGAGAACGUGGCUCUGAAGCACUGCCUGUUUGCUGAGCCUGCAGAGACAACUGCAGUGGGUUUGCUGGUUAACCAGGUGAGAGUGUGGUGUCUCCAGUCCUUGCUUGGAGAGAAAGGCCCCUAACCCUGCUCCUCGUCCUUGCCAGCCACAGCUGGUGAUGGGUGGGAGGAAAGGGUGGAGGGGGAGAUUCCCUCCCUGACCGUUCUACCUGUGUGCUGAUGUGAGAAGGGGUGAAGCUGCCCAGGUUUUGUGGAGCUUCAUCAUACAUGAUGCCUACCUGCAGGACUAGAAGGCAGACAGAGGGGUUUUCUCCUCCUUUCCUUCACUCUGUGAUUCUUUCCCAGCUUCCAUGAGUUUUCCUGGCUUGUCAUUGAGUUUUUUUGGGGGGGAGUUGUUUGUUUGUCUGUUUGUUUGUCUGUUUGUUUCUUUUUCACAUGUGGCUUCCAGAUCCAUGUAGCUUCCAGGUCCAUGC
Long non-coding RNA from Pogoniulus pusillus (Red-fronted tinkerbird), 817 nucleotides. RefSeq lists it as uncharacterized. Lineage: Eukaryota; Metazoa; Chordata; Aves; Piciformes; Lybiidae. The record is from RefSeq and is a predicted model, not a curated record. The transcript has 2 exons.